This 73-nucleotide transfer RNA is filed under the name Ovis aries (sheep). It matches the Rfam family "tRNA". From Rfam's summary of the family: Transfer RNA (tRNA) molecules are approximately 80 nucleotides in length. Their secondary structure includes four short double-helical elements and three loops (D, anti-codon, and T loops). The record is from Rfam by way of RNAcentral. Lineage: Eukaryota; Metazoa; Chordata; Mammalia; Artiodactyla; Bovidae.
UCUCUGGUGGUCCAGUGGCUAAGACUCUGCACUCGCAAUGUAUGGGGCCCAGGUUCCAUUCCUGGUCAGGGAG